GAAAUACCCAAAAAAUAUAUAGAUUUAAAUGCCCAAAAAUAUAUAGAAAUUCAAAUGCAAAGAAAAUAUAGAGACAGGUUGAAAUGCCCCCAAAAAUAUAUAGAUUUAAAUGCCCAAAAAUAUAUAGAAAUUCAAAUGCAAAGAAAAUAUAGAGACAGGUUGAAAUGCCCCCCAAAAUA
Eriocheir sinensis (Chinese mitten crab) is the source of this 179-nucleotide long non-coding RNA. RefSeq lists it as uncharacterized. The transcript is spliced from 2 exons. Lineage: Eukaryota; Metazoa; Arthropoda; Malacostraca; Decapoda; Varunidae. The record is from RefSeq and is a predicted model, not a curated record.